UCGCUUUAAGAUGAGCCUACGGCGGAUUAGCUUGUGGUAAGGUAAUGGCUACCAAGGCAACGAUCCGUACUGGUCUGAGAGGACGAUCAGCCACACUGGGACUGAAUACGGCCAGACUCCUACGGGAGGCAGCAGUGGGGAAUAUUGGACAAUGGGCGAAAGCCUGAUCCAGCAAUGCCGCGUGUGUGAUGAAGGCCUGCGGGUUGUAAAGCACUUUCAGUGGGGAAGAAAUGCUCAAGGCUAAUAUCCUUGAGAGUUGACAUUACCCACAGAAGAAGCACCGGCUAACUCUGUGCCAGCAGCCGCGGUAAUACAGAGGGUGCAAGCGUUAAUCGGAGUUACUGGGCGUAAAGGGCGUGUAGGCGGAUGUUUAAGUCGAUUGUGAAAUACCUGGGCUUAACCUGGGAAUUGCAGUCGAUACUGAAUAUCUAGAGUAUGGGAGAGGAAAGUGGAAUUCCCGGUGUAGCGAUAAAAUGCGUAGAUAUCGGGAGGAACACCAGUGCGAAGGCGGCUUUCUGGACCAAUACUGACGCUGAGGCGCGAAAGCGUGGGGAGCAAACAGGAUUAGAUACCCUGGUAGUCCAUGCUGUAAACGAUGAGAACUAGAUGUCAGAAGG
Molecule: ribosomal RNA, 617 nt
Filed under: uncultured organism
Description: bacterial SSU rRNA
Rfam family: Bacterial small subunit ribosomal RNA
Source: RNAcentral